RNAcentral lists this long non-coding RNA (1177 nucleotides) under Sarcophilus harrisii (Tasmanian devil). RNAcentral's name for it is "lncRNA (ENSSHAG00000032299.1)". Lineage: Eukaryota; Metazoa; Chordata; Mammalia; Dasyuromorphia; Dasyuridae. The record is from RNAcentral.
GUUGAAGGUCUGCGGGUCUCUCGGUCAGUUCCCUUCCCUCCCCCCUUGAGACCCUCCUCUCCGUUAUCCCCAUCUUCCAGACUGAGGAUCCUGCUGGUGCCGAAGCGGCUAUGAGCGAGGGUGACUGACUCACUGAUCCUGCCCUCUCUUCAUGCCAUGUAAGAAAUCUUUUUUUCUUUUUUUGGGGGGGAGCAUUAGAAAAGAGAACACAGCUGGUUGAUUUAGGAUUUAGGAAAAGGUGGACCAUUUACUUCUUGGACAAGAAAAGGUAAGGAUGUCUUCUCAUGUUUCCUUUUUAGUCCCAAUUGAUCUUUAACACUUCCUUACAGAUACUGUCUUUCUUUUGUUGUGUCUUUUUCCAUUUAAAUUGUUGUAGUUAUGUGUAUUUUUACUAUUUUCUUGUCUCUGCUUAAUUAAUUCACUUUACAUUAGAUCAAAAGUCUUUCUUUACUUCUCGGUACUCAGCAGACUCAUCAUUUCUUAUAACAAUGUAGUUGUAUUUCAUGACAUUUGUAUUCUAUGUCUUGUUUAGCCAUUACCCAUUUGAGAGCAUCUACUUUGUUUCCAUUUCAUAGCUGUUAGUAAAAGUGCUGUUAGAAAUAUUUUGGAAUAUAUGGCAGCUGUUUUCUUAUUGACAGCUUCUUGAAGUGUAAUGGAGUGUUUGCAUUAAUCUAAAUAUCUUAUCCCACUUUCAUAGAUUCACACACCCUUCUAUACUUCACUUUAUCCUAUUCCCUACCCCACUUAUUUCUUUAUCGAUUUUGGAGGGUGCUGUCCUCUUCUUGGUAUAUGUGUAUAUAUGUAGUAUAUGUGUAUGUAUGUAUGUUUGUUUCCUCUUUAACCCAUUCCUUUUUCCCCUGUGCAAUUCCUCUCUGUUGGUUCUUGCUAUCAUGCUUUAUUCUUAUAGCAUAAUUACUAUUUUUACUUUUUCCUGGACAAUUUUGCUUUUUAGAGUCACAUCAUACUCAGCUCUUCCCCAGUUAUUUUUUCAGGCUACACAAUUUCUAAUAUCAAUCUUAGACUUUUCAUUUCCAUUUCCAAGUAUACAACAUAAACAAUUUGUCCUUACUGAGUCCUUUGAAAUUAAUCUUUGAUGUUGGUUCCUAUAUGUUAAAAUUUCUAUUGAGUUUGGGCUUGUUUGAAACAAAAUCCUGAAAAUCUGUCAGUAUGUUGAAUG